GACGAACGCUGGCGGCGCGCCUAACACAUGCAAGUCGAACGGAGCUGAGAGAAGCUUGCUUUUCUUAGCUUAGUGGCGAACGGGUGAGUAACGCGUGAGUAACCUGCCCUGGAGUGGGGGACAACAGUUGGAAACGACUGCUAAUACCGCAUAAGCCCACGAUCCGGCAUCGGAUUGAGGGAAAAGGAUUUAUUCGCUUCAGGAUGGACUCGCGUCCAAUUAACUAGUUGGUGAGGUAACGGCCCACCAAGGCGACGAUUGGUAGCCGGACUGAGAGGUUGAACGGCCACAUUGGGACUGAGACACGGCCCAGACUCCUACGGGAGGCAGCAGUGGGGGAUAUUGCACAAUGGGGGAAACCCUGAUGCAGCGACGCCGCGUGGAGGAAGAAGGUUUUCGGAUUGUAAACUCCUGUCGUUAGGGACGAUAAUGACGGUACCUAACAAGAAAGCACCGGCUAACUACGUG
RNAcentral lists this ribosomal RNA (468 nucleotides) under uncultured bacterium. RNAcentral describes it as "partial 16S ribosomal RNA". It matches the Rfam family "Bacterial small subunit ribosomal RNA", at positions 28 to 507 of the family's 1533-position model. The record is from RNAcentral.